Molecule: transfer RNA, 72 nt
Filed under: Candidatus Hodgkinia cicadicola
Lineage: Bacteria; Pseudomonadati; Pseudomonadota; Alphaproteobacteria; Hyphomicrobiales
Description: tRNA-Gly
Rfam family: tRNA
About the family: Transfer RNA (tRNA) molecules are approximately 80 nucleotides in length. Their secondary structure includes four short double-helical elements and three loops (D, anti-codon, and T loops).
Source: RNAcentral
GCGGGCGUAGUUUAAUGGCCAGAACAACAGCCUUCCAAGUUGUAGACGUGAGUUCAACUCUCAUCGCUCGCU